Molecule: transfer RNA, 124 nt
Filed under: Longimicrobium terrae
Lineage: Bacteria; Pseudomonadati; Gemmatimonadota; Longimicrobiia; Longimicrobiales; Longimicrobiaceae
Description: tRNA-OTHER
Rfam family: tRNA
About the family: Transfer RNA (tRNA) molecules are approximately 80 nucleotides in length. Their secondary structure includes four short double-helical elements and three loops (D, anti-codon, and T loops). Further hydrogen bonds mediate the characteristic L-shaped molecular structure. tRNAs have two regions of fundamental functional importance: the anti-codon, which is responsible for specific mRNA codon recognition, and the 3' end, to which the tRNAs corresponding amino acid is attached (by aminoacyl-tRNA synthetases). tRNAs cope with the degeneracy of the genetic code in two manners: having more than one tRNA (with a specific anti-codon) for a particular amino acid; and 'wobble' base-pairing, i.e. permitting non-standard base-pairing at the 3rd anti-codon position.
Source: RNAcentral
GGACCUGUAGCUCAGAGGCAGAGCGCUGACUCCCUCCCCACUUCCUUGCCCGUGCCGCGGGCCGGCGGCGGAGGGUUACCGACUGAUAAUCCAGAGGUCGCGGGUUCGAAUCCCGCCGGGUCCA